CCUACGGGAGGCAGCAGUGGGGGAUAUUGCACAAUGGGGGAAACCCUGAUGCAGCGACGCCGCGUGUGGGAAGACGGUCCUCUGGAUUGUAAACCACUGUCCCCAGGGACGAAGAUGACGGUACCUGGGGAGGAAGCUCCGGCUAACUACGUGCCAGCAGCCGCGGUAAUACGUAGGGAGCGAGCGUUGUCCGGAUUUACUGGGUGAAAAGGGAGCGCAGGCGGGAGUGCAAGUUGGGGGUCAAAUCUACCGGCUCAACCGGUAGCCGCACUCAAAACUGCAGGUCUUGAGUGAAGUAGAGGCAGGCGGAAUUCCUGGUGUAGCGGUGAAAUGCGUAGAUAUUAGGAGGAACACCAGUGGCGAAGGCGGCCUGCUGGGCUUUUACUGACGCUGAGGCUCGAAAGUGUGGGGAGCAAACAGGAUUAGAUACCCGGGUAGUC
Molecule: ribosomal RNA, 440 nt
Filed under: uncultured bacterium
Lineage: Bacteria
Description: partial 16S ribosomal RNA
Rfam family: Bacterial small subunit ribosomal RNA
Source: RNAcentral